UGCCAGCCGCCGCGGUAAUACGGAGGGUGCAAGCGUUAAUCGGAAUUACUGGGCGUAAAGCGCGCGUAGGCGGCUCGUUAAGUCAGAUGUGAAAGCCCCGGGCUAAACCUGGGAAUGGCAUUUGAUACUACAAGACUAGAGUGUGGCAGAGGGGGGUGGAAUUCCGCGUGUAGCAGUGAAAUGCGUAGAGAUGUGGAGUAACACCGAUGGCGAAGGCAGCCCCCUGGGUCAACACUGACGCUCAGGCACGAAAGCAUGGGGAGCAAACAGGAUUAGAUA
RNAcentral lists this ribosomal RNA (279 nucleotides) under uncultured bacterium. RNAcentral describes it as "partial 16S ribosomal RNA". It matches the Rfam family "Bacterial small subunit ribosomal RNA", at positions 506 to 784 of the family's 1533-position model. The record is from RNAcentral.